AGAGUUUGAUCCUGGCUCAGAACGAACGCUGGCGGCGUGGAUAAGACAUGCAAGUCGAACGCUGAUUUGAAGGUAGCAAUAUUUUCAAGUCGGAGUGGCGCAAGGGUGUGUAACACGUGGGCAAUCUGCCGUGAAGUCCGGGAUAACCUGCUGAAAGGCGAGCUAAUACCGGAUGUGAAAGUUGGAGGGCAUCCUCUGAUUUUCAAAGUUGGGGACCGCAAGGCCUGACGCUUCACGAUGAACCCGCGGCCUAUCAGCUAGUUGGUGAGGUAACGGCUCACCAAGGCUAAGACGGGUAGCUGGUCUGAGAGGACGACCAGCCACACUGGAACUGAGACACGGUCCAGACACCUACGGGUGGCAGCAGUCGAGAAUUUUUCACAAUGGGCGAAAGCCUGAUGGAGCGACGCCGCGUGGGGGAUGAAUGGCUUCGGCCCGUAAACCCCUGUCAUUUGUGACCAAACCUUCCGAUCUAAUAAGUCGGAAGCUGAUGGUAGCGGAAGAGGAAGGGACGGCUAACUCUGUGCCAGCAGCCGCGGUAAUACAGAGGUCCCAAGCGUUGUUCGGAUUCACUGGGCGUAAAGGGUGCGUAGGUGGUCGGGUAAGUCUGAUGUGAAAUCUCCGAGCUUAACUCGGAAAUGGCAUUGGAUACUAUCUGACUAGAGGGUUGGAGGGGGGACUGGAAUUCUCGGUGUAGCAGUGAAAUGCGUAGAUAUCGAGAGGAACACCAGUGGCGAAGGCGAGUCCCUGGACAACUCCUGACACUGAGGCACGAAAGCUAGGGGAGCAAACAGGAUUAGAUACCCUAGUAGUCC
RNAcentral lists this ribosomal RNA (815 nucleotides) under uncultured bacterium. RNAcentral's name for it is "bacterial SSU rRNA". It matches the Rfam family "Bacterial small subunit ribosomal RNA", at positions 8 to 796 of the family's 1533-position model. The record is from RNAcentral.